Molecule: ribosomal RNA, 113 nt
Filed under: Pteropus alecto (black flying fox)
Lineage: Eukaryota; Metazoa; Chordata; Mammalia; Chiroptera; Pteropodidae
Source: RNAcentral
GACUACUUAAAAAAAUCCUUGUACGAUGCUGUCUCAUCUCAGAAGCUAAGCAGGGUAGGGCCUGGUUAGUACUUGGAUGGGAGACCACCUAGGAAUACCAGGGUCUGUAGGCA